UACGAAGGGGGCUAGCGUUGCUCGGAAUCACUGGGCGUAAAGCGCACGUAGGCGGCUUGUUAAGCCAGGGGUGAAAUCCUGGAGCUCAACUCCAGAACUGCCUUUGAUACUGGCGAGCUUGAGUCCGGGAGAGGUGAGUGGAACUGCGAGUGUAGAGGUGAAAUUCGUAGAUAUUCGCAAGAACACCAGUGGCGAAGGCGGCUCACUGGCCCAGUACUGACGCUGAGGUGCGAAAGCGUGGGGAGCAAACAGG
Molecule: ribosomal RNA, 253 nt
Filed under: uncultured bacterium
Lineage: Bacteria
Description: partial 16S ribosomal RNA
Rfam family: Bacterial small subunit ribosomal RNA
Source: RNAcentral